UUCUUCUUCUUCUUCUUCUUCUUACUUCUAUUCAUUGGCGAUCAAAACAAAAUCUUUGAGCCAAAUUAAACACAAGAAAAGUUUCUUCAAAUGGGAUCUCAGAAUGAGCACAUAGUGAUGUUACCAUUCAUGGCUCAUGGCCAUCUCAUACCUUUUCUUGCUCUAGCAAGGCAAAUCCGCCGCAGAACUGGCUUCACCGUCACCAUCGCCAAUACCCCUUUCAACAUUCAAUACCUUCGUUCCACCAUGAACUCCUCCUCAUACCCACCUGAACCCAACAUCUGUCUCGUCGAGCUUCCUUUCUCCGUCGCCGACUAUGGCCUACCCGCCAACACUGAAAACUCUGAAAACUUGCCUUUAGACCUUAUUGGGAAAUUUUUCACAGCAUCUACAAGUCUUAAGAACCCAGUUCAUUGUCUUCUAUCUGAUAUUGUAGCUAAAGAAGGGAAGCCUCCUCUCUGUGUAAUAUCAGAUGUUUUCUUUGGUUGGGCAAAUGAAGUUGCCAAAAGUGUAGGUACUGUUAAUCUGAGCUUCUCUACCGGCGGCGCCUAUGGCUCCUUAGCUUAUAUUUCUUUGUGGUUGAAUCUUCCUCACCGGCAAGCUGGUUCCGAUAAGUUUCAUCUGCCGGGAUUUCCUGAUAGCUGCCGUUUUCAUAUAACUCAGUUGCAUCAAUUUUUGAGAAACGCAGAUGGUACUGAUUUAUGGUCCAAGUUUAUGCAACCACAGAUUUCACUUUCUUUGCAGUCCUUCGGAUUUUUAUGCAACACAGCAGAGGAAAUUGAGCCUCUAGCAUUGGAGUGGUUGAGGAAAUACAUUAAGCUUAGUGUUUGGACUAUUGGACCUCUUCUUCCACCUGCUGUGCUCAAUGGUUCAUCCAUUUCAUGUUCAGGUUCAAGCAUAAGUAUUCAGCGUGCUGGGAAGCAACCUGGGAUUUCUACAAAGAGCUGCCUGGAAUGGCUAGAUUUACAUAGCCAAGGUUCAGUUCUUUACAUUUCUUUUGGUUCACAAAACAGCAUUAGUCCCUCCCAGAUGAUGGAAUUGGCAAUUGGGUUGGAAGAAAGUUCAAAGCCUUUCAUUUGGGUCAUAAGGCCACCGGUUGGUUUUGACAGAAAAGCUGAAUUUAAAGCAGAAUGGCUACCAGAAGGAUUCGAAGAGCUAAUCAACAACAGAAAACAAGGGUUGCUGGUUCGCAAUUGGGCACCCCAAUUGGAGAUUCUGUCACACAAGUCCACUGGAGCAUUUCUCAGCCACUGUGGUUGGAAUUCAGUACUGGAAAGUUUAAGUCAAGGUGUGCCUAUUAUAGGAUGGCCUCUGGCAGCAGAACAAGCAUAUAAUUCGAAAAUGCUGGCGGAAGAGAUGGGUGUUAGUGUGGAGCUGACAAGAGGACUGCAUAGCAAUAUAACCUGGAAGGAAGUGAAGAAGGUGGUAGACUUGGUAAUUGAACCAAAAGGGAAAGGUAAUGAUAUGAGGAACAAGGCCAUGGAGAUUAGAAAGCUAAUGAGAGCAUCAGCAACAGAGGAAGGGGAAGAGAUUGGGUCCUCUGUAAAAGCAUUAGAUGAUCUUGUGAAAACCCUUUUAUCCAGAAGACGAGAGAAUAAGCCAAUUGCAUGAAUUAAGUGAAUGGAAAUUGGGAUAUCUAGCUCUUAUUAUGUUACCAAGUUCUUCAACUGAUGUGAUUCUCAGUGCUUAAUUAUUUCUUUUUUAUAAAAAGCAUAUUCCCCUUUGGGAAUUAGAAUUUUAUAAUAAUUUAAUUCAAUAAAUUUCUUUUAG
Molecule: unclassified non-coding RNA, 1770 nt
Filed under: Hevea brasiliensis (rubber tree)
Lineage: Eukaryota; Viridiplantae; Streptophyta; Magnoliopsida; Malpighiales; Euphorbiaceae
Source: RNAcentral